ACUUGGCUGGCUCAGUCGGUAAAGCACAUGAAUCUUGAUCCUGGGGUUGUGGAUUCAAGUCCCACACUGGGUG
RNAcentral lists this transfer RNA (73 nucleotides) under Felis catus (domestic cat). It matches the Rfam family "tRNA". From Rfam's summary of the family: Transfer RNA (tRNA) molecules are approximately 80 nucleotides in length. Their secondary structure includes four short double-helical elements and three loops (D, anti-codon, and T loops). The record is from Rfam by way of RNAcentral. Lineage: Eukaryota; Metazoa; Chordata; Mammalia; Carnivora; Felidae. RNAcentral also lists the same sequence under 2 other names.